RNAcentral lists this transfer RNA (70 nucleotides) under Scombrops boops. Its description in RNAcentral is "tRNA-Arg". It matches the Rfam family "tRNA". From Rfam's summary of the family: Transfer RNA (tRNA) molecules are approximately 80 nucleotides in length. Their secondary structure includes four short double-helical elements and three loops (D, anti-codon, and T loops). RNAcentral also lists the same sequence under 3 other names. The record is from RNAcentral. Lineage: Eukaryota; Metazoa; Chordata; Actinopteri; Scombriformes; Scombropidae.
AGGCAAUUAGUCUUAAGAAAAACAUUUGAUUUCGGCUCAAAAGCCUGCGGUUAAAAUCCGCAAUUGCCUA